This 479-nucleotide ribosomal RNA is filed under the name uncultured soil bacterium. RNAcentral describes it as "bacterial SSU rRNA". It matches the Rfam family "Bacterial small subunit ribosomal RNA", at positions 26 to 505 of the family's 1533-position model. The record is from RNAcentral.
AGGAUGAACGCUGGCGGCGUGCUUAACACAUGCAAGUCGAACGAUGAUCUCCAGCUUGCUGGGGGGGAUUAGUGGCGAACGGGUGAGUAACACGUGAGUAACCUGCCCUUGACUCUGGGAUAAGCCUGGGAAACUGGGUCUAAUACUGGAUAUGACCUAUCACCGCAUGGUGUGUGGGUGGAAAGUUUUGGUGGUUUUGGAUGGACUCGCGGCCUAUCAGCUUGUUGGUGGGGUAAUGGCCUACCAAGGCGACGACGGGUAGCCGGCCUGAGAGGGUGGACGGCCACACUGGGACUGAGACACGGCCCAGACCUCCUACGGGAGGCAGCAGGUGGGGAAUAUUGACACAAGUGGGACGAAAGCCUGAUGCAGCGACGCCGCGGUGGGGGAUGGAAGGCCGUUCGGUUCGUAACCGUCUUUACGAGGUAGGAAGAAGCGUAAGUGACGGUACUGACGAGAAGAGCGCCGGACUAACUACG